This 378-nucleotide unclassified non-coding RNA is filed under the name uncultured Chlamydiales bacterium. Its description in RNAcentral is "contains 16S-23S intergenic spacer region". Lineage: Bacteria; Pseudomonadati; Chlamydiota; Chlamydiia; Chlamydiales. The record is from RNAcentral.
UCCCGGUUAACCCGGGCAGUCUCAUUAGAGUUCCCACCAUUACGUGUUGGCAACUAAUGAUAAGGGUUGCGCUCGUUGCGGGACUUAACCCAACACCUCACGGCACGAGCUGACGACAGCCAUGCAGCACCUGUGCAGAAGUCCCGAAGGAAGGCGCCAUCUCUGGCGCUGUCUUCUGCAUGUCAAGCCUGGGUAAGGUUCUUCGCGUUGCAUCGAAUUAAACCACAUGCUCCACUGCUUGUGCGGGUCCCCGUCAAUUCUUUUGAGUUUCACCCUUGCGAGUGUACUCCUCAGGCGGCAUACUUAACACGUUAGCUACGGCACAACCGGGGUUAAGUCCGGUUACACCAAGUAUGCAUCGUUUACGGCUAGGACUAC